This 253-nucleotide ribosomal RNA is filed under the name uncultured bacterium. Its description in RNAcentral is "partial 16S ribosomal RNA". It matches the Rfam family "Bacterial small subunit ribosomal RNA", at positions 524 to 776 of the family's 1533-position model. The record is from RNAcentral.
UACGCAGGGUGCAAACGUUGCUCGGAAUUAUUGGGCGUAAAGAGCUCGUAGGCGGCCUGUUGCGUCGGUUGUGAAAGCCCGGGGCUUAACCCCGGGUCUGCAGUCGAUACGGGCAGGCUAGAGUUCGGUAGGGGAGAUCGGAAUUCCUGGUGUAGCGGUGAAAUGCGCAGAUAUCAGGAGGAACACCGGUGGCGAAGGCGGAUCUCUGGGCCGAUACUGACGCUGAGGAGCGAAAGCGUGGGGAGCGAACAGG